Long non-coding RNA from Ochotona princeps (American pika), 405 nucleotides. RefSeq lists it as uncharacterized. The transcript has 3 exons. The record is from RefSeq and is a predicted model, not a curated record. NCBI's taxonomy places the organism in Eukaryota, Metazoa, Chordata, Mammalia, Lagomorpha, Ochotonidae.
UCCAGCUGUCACGGGCACUGGACGGAUGGGGAAGACACAGCACGAGUGUAACCGGAAACUUUAAUGUGGACCGGUGGCGCAACAAGGAGCCAUGAUCACUUACGUGACUGGCUUGGGGCAAAGCUCACAGAGAGGCUGGAUUUCAUUAAUGCCUUAUUGAGCGCCUAUGCCGGGACUGUCACCCUAAUAAGGGUGCUUCACUGACUUGCACAAAGAUGUUUCCGGAGAGCUCCUCAAGGAGCGCAAAGAGGGAACGCGGAUCAGGCAAAGCUUAUCCUAUGCCAUGUUAGCAUGGUUCAGUGUGCUACCACACUGAUGCCAUCUGUCUCACACAGAGAAGCCCAGCCCCAAGCCUGCUACUCCUAAAUUCUCUUUGAACUCUGCCUCUCCCAAGAGUGCUUAGCU